RNAcentral lists this long non-coding RNA (1047 nucleotides) under Manihot esculenta (cassava). Its description in RNAcentral is "long non-coding RNA (MESC_LNC010544)". Lineage: Eukaryota; Viridiplantae; Streptophyta; Magnoliopsida; Malpighiales; Euphorbiaceae. The record is from RNAcentral.
GGGUGAGAAGCCAUUCCUUAAUUUUUGAGGUGGUUCAAUUUGUGCCACAUGUCCGCAAAAUGAAUAAUAUUACAAAUGGAAUUAUAUUAUUUGGAUGUAUUUGGUGAAUUGAGCAUACGAGUAAGUUUUUGUUAUGUUCUCAAAAUAUAAAGCUCAUUUAUGCUACCCCAUUUUCAGCUCAUUUUUCCUUCAGAUGUGAUGUCUCAGCCGCCUACAUGUUAGAUUCAAGAGGUUCUCUUGUGGUACCUCAAUUCAGGAUUCUGCAUCUGUUGUUCCUCCUGCUUACUCCCAACCUUCAUUUAUGAUGAUUAUGACCAAUGCACCGCUAAGUUUAAACGGUGAGGUCCCUCACGCCUUAACUUCGAUCUGAAUUCUGGUUUUGCAAUUGAAGGAGGUCCUGUGGGUUGGAGGCAACUUUUCAUGACUGGUCAAUGCAGGUCUAUGGAAGAGCUUUUGAGGACCAACCUUUAACCUCCUCGAGCUCUGCAGCGGGUGGGAUAAGGAGGGACCACACGGUGGUUGGUACUUGGAAGCCUUGCAAUUUACAAUAUUGGCAUCCACAGCCUCCAUGAAGAUAAAGACCACACCUGUUGCUCUUCCAAUGUGAGUUCAUAAAUCCAAUCGCACUGAUUGAGAGAUUCAUUUGCAAGGAUAAUUUUAGGUAUGCAAAAACCCAUUGACUUAAGCGACGGGAAGAUGGAUUGAACAAAAAUAGGGAGAAUUAUGAACGUAAUAUCAUUCAUGAGAUUAAUUGCAGAAAAGAAUGGGUUUUAUUUGGUUAGUUUCCUAUUUCCUUUUGUCUCAGAUUACCGCGAUCAUAGAAGAAAGCCUGGUACAGAAAUUUAAAGGAAGAAGUUGCCUAUACGGCGUCGUUUUUGCACCAUUUCUUGACGGCAGGGCAGUCGACUAAUUUUGAUCGCCGAUUUUUUUCUGUUCUCAUUUCUGGCCUGUUACUGAAAAGUUGUACGCUUCAAGGGAAUUUUAGCGUCUUCACAGAGAAUCCGUACUUGGAUACAAUAGAAAAUUUUCACACUUCUCCAAAGAUAU